UUAGUAUAUCGAUCGAUCGCAUGAUAUUCAUGAGGAAAGUCCGUGCUCCAAAACAAGGAUGCCGGAUAACAUCCGGUGAGGGCGACCUUAAGGCAAGUGCAACAGAGAGAUACCGCCGACAUUAGUCGGUAAGGGUGGAAAGGUGGUGUAAGAGACCACCGGCGAUAUAGCGAUAUAUUGGCCAUGUAAACCCCAUCCGGAGCAAGAUCAAAUGGGACGAAAGUCAAAUGGUAGAUCGCUAGAGCUCAUAGGCAACUAUGAGAUUAGAUUGAUGAUCGAAUAAUACAGAACACGGCUUAUAGAUAUACUAUAAAA
Molecule: RNase P RNA, 315 nt
Filed under: Tissierellia bacterium
Lineage: Bacteria; Bacillati; Bacillota; Tissierellia
Description: RNase P RNA component class A
Rfam family: Bacterial RNase P class A
About the family: Ribonuclease P (RNase P) is a ubiquitous endoribonuclease, found in archaea, bacteria and eukarya as well as chloroplasts and mitochondria. Its best characterised activity is the generation of mature 5'-ends of tRNAs by cleaving the 5'-leader elements of precursor-tRNAs.
Source: RNAcentral